CAUAGGUUAAUGAGGCGAACCGGGGGAACUGAAACAUCUAAGUACCCCGAGGAAAAGAAAUCAACCGAGAUUCCCCCAGUAGCGGCGAGCGAACGGGGAGGAGCCCAGAGCCUGAAUCAGUGUGUGUGUUAGUGGAAGCGUCUGGAAAGGCGCGCGAUACAGGGUGACAGCCCCGUACACAAAAAUGCACAUAUUGUGAGCUCGAUGAGUAGGGCGGGACACGUGGUAUCCUGUCUGAAUAUGGGGGGACCAUCCUCCAAGGCUAAAUACUCCUGACUGACCGAUAGUGAACCAGUACCGUGAGGGAAAGGCGAAAAGAACCCCGGCGAGGGGAGUGAAAAAGAACCUGAAACCGUGUACGUACAAGCAGUGGGAGCCUCUUAAUGGGGUGACUGCGUACCUUUUGUAUAAUGGGUCAGCGACUUAUAUUCUGUAGCAAGGUUAACCGAAUAGGGGAGCCGAAGGGAAACCGAGUCUUAACUGGGCGUUAAGUUGCAGGGUAUAGACCCGAAACCCGGUGAUCUAGCCAUGGGCAGGUUGAAGGUUGGGUAACACUAACUGGAGGACCGAACCGACUAAUGUUGAAAAAUUAGCGGAUGACUUGUGGCUGGGGGUGAAAGGCCAAUCAAACCGGGAGAUAGCUGGUUCUCCCCGAAAGCUAUUUAGGUAGCGCCUCGUGAAUUCAUCUCCGGGGGUAGAGCACUGUUUCGGCAAGGGGGUCAUCCCGACUUACCAACCCGAUGCAAACUGCGAAUACCGGAGAAUGUUAUCACGGGAGACACACGGCGGGUGCUAACGUCCGUCGUGAAGAGGGAAACAACCCAGACCGCCAGCUAAGGUCCCAAAGUCAUGGUUAAGUGGGAAACGAUGUGGGAAGGCCCAGACAGCCAGGAUGUUGGCUUAGAAGCAGCCAUCAUUUAAAGAAAGCGUAAUAGCUCACUGGUCGAGUCGGCCUGCGCGGAAGAUGUAACGGGGCUAAACCAUGCACCGAAGCUGCGGCAGCGACACUAUGUGUUGUUGGGUAGGGGAGCGUUCUGUAAGCCUGUGAA
This 1049-nucleotide ribosomal RNA is filed under the name Escherichia coli. RNAcentral describes it as "partial 23S ribosomal RNA". It matches the Rfam family "Bacterial large subunit ribosomal RNA", at positions 165 to 1254 of the family's 2925-position model. Lineage: Bacteria; Pseudomonadati; Pseudomonadota; Gammaproteobacteria; Enterobacterales; Enterobacteriaceae. The record is from RNAcentral.